Molecule: small nuclear RNA, 109 nt
Organism: Colobus angolensis palliatus
Lineage: Eukaryota; Metazoa; Chordata; Mammalia; Primates; Cercopithecidae
Source: Ensembl
GUGUUCUCACUUUAGCCACACAUAUACUGAAACUGGGAUGAUACAGAUAAGAUUAGCAUAGCCGUUGGACAAGGGUGACAAAUAAAUUCUUGAAGCCUUCCAUUAAAAA